RNAcentral lists this ribosomal RNA (433 nucleotides) under uncultured bacterium. RNAcentral describes it as "partial 16S ribosomal RNA". It matches the Rfam family "Bacterial small subunit ribosomal RNA", at positions 29 to 507 of the family's 1533-position model. The record is from RNAcentral.
AGCGAACGCUGGCGGCAGGCCUAACACAUGCAAGUCGAACGGAUCCUUCGGGAUUAGUGGCGGACGGGUGAGUAACACGUGGGAACGUGCCCUUUGGUUCGGAACAACUCAGGGAAACUUGAGCUAAUACCGGAUGUGCCCUUCGGGGGAAAGAUUUAUCGCCAUUGGAGCGGCCCGCGUCUGAUUAGCUAGUUGGUGAGGUAACGGCCCACCAAGGCGACGAUCAGUAGCUGGUCUGAGAGGAUGAUCAGCCACACUGGGACUGAGACACGGCCCAGACUCCUACGGGAGGCGGCAGUGGGGAAUCUUGCGCAACGGGCGAAAGCCUGACGCAGCCAUGCCGCGUGAAUGAUGAAGGUCUUAGGAUUGUAAAAUUCUUUCAGCGGGGACGAUAAUGACGGUACCCGCAGAAGAAGCUCCGGCUAACUUCGUG